CAGUCGCCGCGGUAAUACGUAGGUGGCAAGCGUUGUCCGGAAUUAUUGGGCGUAAAGGGCUCGCAGGCGGUUUCUUAAGUCUGAUGUGAAAGCCCCCGGCUCAACCGGGGAGGGUCAUUGGAAACUGGGAAACUUGAGUGCAGAAGAGGAGAGUGGAAUUCCACGUGUAGCGGUGAAAUGCGUAGAGAUGUGGAGGAACACCGGUGGCGAAGGCGACUCUCUGGUCUGUAACUGACGCUGAGGAGCGAAAGCGUGGGGAGCGAACAGGAUUAGAUACCCCAGUAGUCCCUGUCUCUUAUAC
Molecule: ribosomal RNA, 301 nt
Filed under: uncultured bacterium
Lineage: Bacteria
Description: partial 16S ribosomal RNA
Rfam family: Bacterial small subunit ribosomal RNA
Source: RNAcentral